GCCUACGGGGGGCAGCAGUGGGGAAUAUUGCGCAAUGGGCGAAAGCCUGACGCAGCGACGCCGCGUGAGGGAUGAAGGUCUUCGGAUCGUAAACCUCUGUCAGCAGGGAAGAACGGUCACUGUGCUAAUCAGCAGUGAAUUGACGGUACCUGCAAAGGAAGCACCGGCUAACUCCGUGCCAGCAGCCGCGGUAAUACGGAGGAUGCGAGCGUUAUCCGGAUUUAUUGGGUUUAAAGGGUGCGUAGGCGGACGCUUAAGUCAGCGGUAAAAUUGCGGGGCGCAACCUCGUCGAGCCGGUGAAACUG
RNAcentral lists this ribosomal RNA (305 nucleotides) under uncultured bacterium. Its description in RNAcentral is "bacterial SSU rRNA". It matches the Rfam family "Bacterial small subunit ribosomal RNA", at positions 337 to 635 of the family's 1533-position model. The record is from RNAcentral.